RNAcentral lists this ribosomal RNA (445 nucleotides) under uncultured bacterium. Its description in RNAcentral is "bacterial SSU rRNA". It matches the Rfam family "Bacterial small subunit ribosomal RNA", at positions 330 to 792 of the family's 1533-position model. The record is from RNAcentral.
CCCAGACUCCUACGGGAGGCAGCAGUGGGGAAUAUUGCACAAUGGGGGAAACCCUGAUGCAGCGACGCCGCGUGAGUGAAGAAGUAUUUCGGUAUGUAAAGCUCUAUCAGCAGGGAAGAAAAUGACGGUACCUGAUUAAGAAGCCCCGGCUAACUACGUGUCAGCAGCCGCGGUAAUACGUAGGGGGCAAGCGUUAUCCGGAUUUACUGGGUGUAAAGGGAGCGUAGACGGUGAUGCAAGUCAGAAGUGAAAGCCCGGGGCUCAACUCCGGGACUGCUUUUGAAACUGUGUGACUGGAGUGCAGGAGAGGUAAGCGGAAUUCCUGGUGUAGCGGUGAAAUGCGUAGAUAUCAGGAGGAACACCAGUGGCGAAGGCGGCUUACUGGACUGUAACUGACGUUGAGGCUCGAAAGCGUGGGGAGCAAACAGGAUUAGAUACCCUAGUA